GCCAGUGAUGACAAUUGAACGUCCCUUUGCCUUCCCAGCCUCCUUCAUAUAUUCUCAGGCAUAGGAUGACAAAGGGAAGUCCACGAGUCACAUGAAGAAGGACU
This 104-nucleotide microRNA precursor is filed under the name Cricetulus griseus (Chinese hamster). RNAcentral describes it as "mir-204". The record is from RNAcentral. Lineage: Eukaryota; Metazoa; Chordata; Mammalia; Rodentia; Cricetidae.